UGCUGGCAGCUGUGCUUUUGCCAAACC
This 27-nucleotide non-coding RNA is filed under the name Homo sapiens (human). Lineage: Eukaryota; Metazoa; Chordata; Mammalia; Primates; Hominidae. The record is from RNAcentral.